GGCAAGUCCCAGAGAGCCCUGGGGACAGCCUGUGCUCCUAGCCCGCCUACCUGCCCACCCCAGGCUACAGCCCGGUGAACGGAACUGUGAUGCAUGAAAUGAGGGGGGAAAGACCGGUGAGGUCAUGCUGGCCUUGUUAACUGUUGGCAAAAAAGCAGGCAACAGAAAGGGGAAUGUCAGAUUUCACCUGUGAAUUAAUUUACUUCGUGCAGUGCUUGGAUUAAGCUGGCAGAACAUGAGAACCACAUCAGCAUGAUCAAAGCUUCAUAAGGAUCUAUUGGCAUUGAAAUAAGGAAGUAUUACACGUAAUCCAGGACAAUUGGCUGGCUUACUUGGGUGUAUCAGACAUUCCCAUAUCCUGUACAAAUAAGGAUUUGUGAGGCUCCAAGAUGGAUUGUGAAGCAGCCAUUAAUGCUUCUACGUGAUUAUGGAACUUGGGGAGCCAGCUUGGCAUCCCACUGGAAGUCAGAUGAUGUUAUGAUUACAAGGAAGUAUUGAUAUACUUCCCUAAUUGUUUCUUAGGACUUUGGAUUCUAUUUGUGAUGUCAUUACAAAGCUAUGCAUUAUCUGCAUAAUCGCCAAGGAAAAGACUCUCUCAUGAAGGGAAAUGCGUCCCACUGAGAUAAUGCCGCAAGCUACUGCUAUACAUCCAACGGCAUAUGUAUGGUGUUGAAAUAAUAAGACAGCAUGGAAUAAUGAUGAAGGCCAUAUUGUGUAUCAGGAGCUUGUAACCAUCUGGCAAUUUGCUGGUAUCCUGUAGGACUACUUACCUUGCAGAAUAAGGUGCUGAUUCACGAGGGUGCAAGCGAUGAGGAGCUCACUGCAAAAAGGAGCCCAGACUGCUUUACACAAGGAGACAGUAUGAGGCCUGGAGUGGUGCGGCUUCUAGCCCUUGUUGCCGUCUGCAUUAAGAACCUUCACUUUCUUCACUAGAUGCAGAAGUGGUGGGAGUCUGCUAUAAGCUUGCCUUUGUUUUUACUUCCUUCUGGGCAUUGCUUACAGGGGUCACAGACAUUCAGAUCAUGGCAGAACUGUCACAGAUGUUACUUUGUGAAAACACAAAGAAUAAUGUGUUUGGAGAGAUCAGUCUUCAAUUAGCUAUAUUUUCUAGGAGCCUACCUUUACUUAGCCUCACAACAUGGGCCUUAGCUUUAGCACUUAAUCUGCACAAAUACCUGGCUUAAGUGUUAUGACUGACUGGCUAUUCAACCAAACCAUACAAAUGACCAAUUCGGUAAGAAAGCAUGAACUUCAGUGUUGAACCAAAUCAACCAACCUCCUCAAUCCAAAUGAACAAUGCUAUUCUAGGAGUCUGUGCUAGAAUAAAAUCCUAAUGCAAAGGCUGUCUUAAAAUGCUGAACCCAGAAGAAUUUGGCAUAAAUAAGACAUGGAGUUAGCUGACAUGAGAUAUUACAUUUAUUCCACUGUUGACGAGGACAAAACUGGGCCGCUAUUGUCACAGGAGAUGCCUGUGAAAGAGGAUGGGCCAGGGUCAGCUUUCACCUUCAUAUCCUCCCAUGCAGAAAACGGAAGCAUGUUUGGGCUGAGAGGACAGGUUGCCAGUUGUCUGAACCAGUCAUUCCAACCAGGCUUCACACUUCUGCAAAGAAGAGAGGGCUAGAAUGCCCAGUAGGAGUGCAGACUGGAGGAUCGGCUGUUUUUUGAACUGGAGACAUCACAGGAAACUGGGGAGGCUCCAAAUUGCUAACCUGAGGCCGGAGCAAAAACUUUUUUUUUGUCGAAGGGACUGCUUUUUUUAUUUCCCCUUCAACGGAUGGCAUCCCAAGUCCUGCUGGAUUGCAUCUGUCUUUGUUCCUGCAGCCAAGCCUUUGAGGAAGUCUGUUCUGGAGGCACCAUGACAAAGCACCAGACAGAAAGCAGUCACGUGUGGGGAGAUGAGCAGAGACACCACUUCUCAAGCACCUGAUUAUUCUUUCUCAGUAUUUAGAAGCAAAAAUUAUCCUUAAGAAAAACAACCGCAAACGCAACACAGGCUACACAGAUGAGAAAAUGGACUGCACUAAACAGUCACAGGACCAAGAUAUAGAUUCCUAUUUCCAGGCUUGCAGAGCUCAAACCAUUACACCAUUCAGAAGCUGGCUUUGGUAUUACUUCAAGUUAUUCAAAACAGUCACCACUUGCUGAGCCUCUGAUGUCUCAUCUGUUGAAUGGGUACAUUUUCUUCCUGAUCCUUCCACCUCUAAACUUGUCUAUUUCCAAGGAUCUAUGGCAUCCAGGCAUAUGGUUCCCCAUCUUCGUUGAAGGCCCCACAUCAUUUGCCAUGAACUUGCAGAAGAUUUCAAGAGAGAAGGCUGAAAAGGAAGGUGACUGGAAUAUUAAGAACUGUGAGAUAUUCUGAGGAAACUCUAAUUUGUAAAUUGGUAGAAAUGCCAGUAAUUUGUUGGGAAUUGAAGACCCUCUGUAUUCAAGAGCGAAGCUUGGCAGCUGUGCACUGUUGUUUUAUAAAUCAAUAUUACAUCU
Molecule: long non-coding RNA, 2481 nt
Filed under: Homo sapiens (human)
Lineage: Eukaryota; Metazoa; Chordata; Mammalia; Primates; Hominidae
Description: long non-coding RNA NONHSAT184678.1
Source: RNAcentral